Molecule: ribosomal RNA, 253 nt
Filed under: uncultured bacterium
Lineage: Bacteria
Description: partial 16S ribosomal RNA
Rfam family: Bacterial small subunit ribosomal RNA
Source: RNAcentral
UACGUAGGGGGCAAGCGUUGUCCGGAAUCAUUGGGCGUAAAGCGCGCGUAGGCGGCUAGAUCAGUCUGCUGUAAAAGUCCAAGGCUCAACCUUUGAAAGCCGGUGGAUACUGUCUAGCUAGAGUCCGGAAGAGGCGAGUGGAAUUCCUGGUGUAGCGGUGGAAUGCGCAGAUAUCAGGAGGAACACCAGCGGCGAAGGCAGCUCGCUGGGACGGUACUGACGCUAAGGCGCGAAAGCGUGGGGAGCGAACAGG